AACGAACGCUGGCAGCGUGCCUAAUACAUGCAAGUAGGACGCAGAUGCGAACGGGUGAGUAACGCGUAGGUAACUACCUAUUAGAGGGGGAUAACUAUUGGAAACGAUAGCUAAUACCGCAUACUAGUAGCUGGACCUACGGUUUAUGAGAUAGUAAGUAGGGUCAAGGCCUACCUAGGCAACGAUACAUAACCGACCUGGUAUGUGGAUCGGCCACACUGGGACUGAGACACGGCCCAGACCCCGACGGGAGGCAGCAGUAGGGAAUCUUCGGCAAUGGGGGGAACCCUGACCGAGCAACGCCGCUUGAGUGAAGAAGGUUUUCGGAUCGUAAAGCUCUGUUGUUAAGGAAGCGGUACUUAACCAGAAAGGGACGGCUAACUACGUGCCAGCAGCCGCGGUAAUAC
Molecule: ribosomal RNA, 407 nt
Filed under: uncultured bacterium
Lineage: Bacteria
Description: partial 16S ribosomal RNA
Rfam family: Bacterial small subunit ribosomal RNA
Source: RNAcentral